Molecule: non-coding RNA, 305 nt
Organism: Pelobates cultripes (western spadefoot toad)
Lineage: Eukaryota; Metazoa; Chordata; Amphibia; Anura; Pelobatidae
Source: the annotation of a GenBank genome assembly
GUCAAAAGAAGGACUUGACAGGCUCAGAAAAGUCAAAAAUAGUGAGAUAUCUUGCAGAGGGAUGCAGCACUCUUAAAAUUGCAAAGCUUCUGAAGCGGGAUCAUCGAACAAUCAAGCGUUUCAUUCAAAAUAGUCAACAGGGUCGCAAGAAGCGUGUGGAAAAACCAAGGCGCAAAAUAACUGCCCAUGAACUGAGAAAAGUCAAGCGUGCAGCUGCCACGAUGCCACUUGCCACCAGUUUGGCCAUAUUUCAGAGCUGCAACAUCACUGGAGUGCCCAAAAGCACAAGGUGUGCAAUACUCAGA